CUCCCCAUGACAUCUGCUGUCCCUUCUUGGACAUUCUAUUGUCUCCUAGAGAGUUCUGGCAUCCUCUGUGAUGUCACCAGUGUUGUAGUGACAACCAGUGCCCUAGUUUCUCUCAGUCUGAGUCUGGCGGUUACAAGCUAAGACAUGUUUUCCCGUCUUCGCAAGCGUUUUGGGAGGGGGAACGUCGAUUCUGGAGAGACUAGAGUGAAGGAGUCUGGCCUUUCGUCUCAAAGUAAUGAUGGACAAAGACAGCACUUCCGGGGAAUGUAGAACUCUGGGAGAGAAACAUCAUCCCCUGGCACUGAACUAAGCAAGAAUCAGGAAAAGGAGAGGCUGAUUAAAGAGCUGCAGCUCAUUACCUAGGAGAGAAAUGACCUGAGAGAUCGCCUGAGGUUUCUGACAGAGAGAUCCAUGAAGAAAAGGCCACACUUCAGGCCAAAUCCAUAUUAUGAAGACCUGGAGAGAAUGGAGGAGGCGGUCAUGUCAAUUCUGCACAACUUAGAGAUGGAGAACACUGAGGUCCAUGAGAACAGCCAUAAGCUGAAGAAGGAGAUUACCUUCUCUAGGUAAGUCCUGGUCAGAAAGCCUAUCACCUGUGGAAUGGCCAUUUCUGACUUUCUUUGUUCUGGAUUGGACGGUCUUCAGCUCUGGUUCUAUCUCUUGUGCUAU
Rattus norvegicus (Norway rat) is the source of this 669-nucleotide non-coding RNA. The record is from RefSeq and is a predicted model, not a curated record. Lineage: Eukaryota; Metazoa; Chordata; Mammalia; Rodentia; Muridae.